GGUGGUUUUAGCUCAGGGGGUCAAGCUUUGGGCUGCUGAGCAGAAGGUUGUGAGUUCAAAUCCCAACACUACCA
Pangasius djambal is the source of this 74-nucleotide non-coding RNA. NCBI's taxonomy places the organism in Eukaryota, Metazoa, Chordata, Actinopteri, Siluriformes, Pangasiidae. The record is from the annotation of a GenBank genome assembly.